GUUGACCUCGGAUCAGGUAGGACUACCCGCUGAACUUAAGCAUAUCAAUAAACGGAAAAAAACA
Molecule: ribosomal RNA, 64 nt
Filed under: Cordyceps javanica
Lineage: Eukaryota; Fungi; Ascomycota; Sordariomycetes; Hypocreales; Cordycipitaceae
Description: partial 28S ribosomal RNA
Source: RNAcentral